GGGCUGUUAGCUCAGUUGGUAGAGCAGCGGACUCUUAAUCCGUAGGUCGAGUGUUCGAGCCACUCACAGCCCACCA
Molecule: transfer RNA, 76 nt
Filed under: Pseudomonas sp.
Lineage: Bacteria; Pseudomonadati; Pseudomonadota; Gammaproteobacteria; Pseudomonadales; Pseudomonadaceae
Also listed under: 307 other names
Description: tRNA-Lys
Rfam family: tRNA
About the family: Transfer RNA (tRNA) molecules are approximately 80 nucleotides in length. Their secondary structure includes four short double-helical elements and three loops (D, anti-codon, and T loops).
Source: RNAcentral